CCAGCUACUCGCAUAAACCCGCAGAUCUACUCGUUCGCAUCGAGUAGGUCAGGGGUUCGAAUCCCCUUAGCUCCACCA
Molecule: transfer RNA, 78 nt
Filed under: Mycobacterium paragordonae
Lineage: Bacteria; Bacillati; Actinomycetota; Actinomycetes; Mycobacteriales; Mycobacteriaceae
Description: tRNA-Ala
Source: RNAcentral